UGAAAUCGUAUUAGUUUCAUCCAAACAAAACAGAGAAAAAAGAAUCUGCACAAGCCAUAUCCAAAGAAGCAAACACGUAUAUGAUUGGAAGUAAAAAGAUGAAUGCGCACACCUUCAUGGGGAGGUGGGCGUUUGGUCGGCGACAUUGUCAGUGUUUUGGGCAUCGGGGUUCUUAAGACAAAUUAGCUAUGAGGGGUGAUGUGGUUGGAGAUGCAGAAGAAAUUCAAAAUGGAUAUGAAUAUGAAGAUAGAGUUGGAAGAGAAGAAGUAUGAGAAAAUGGUGAUGCAGAUUCAGAGGCAUACGAUGAGGAUGAUGCAUAAGACUAUGGAUUCUAUAAUGAAGACGCUGAAGGAGAAGAAAAAGAAGAAGUUGAAGAUGCAGAUGAUAUUCAAAUUGACGUUGAAGAUGGAGAUGUUAGAGGUUCUACAGAAAAUGCUGGGGAUGAUGGCAUAGUUAUUGAUGAUGUUACAGACAUCUUGAAGUUUGACAUGGAAAAUUUGAGCAUGGACGAUCUUAGGAGGUUAGAUUUGUCUUGAUUUGGAAGUUGGCUAUUUAUUUUAUUACUAGUAUGCUAGAAUUAGUGGUUUUUCUGUUUGCAAAAGUCAUGUAGUUAGAGACAAGAAAGGUGAACUUUUGCAAUAGACUUUUGUGUGCUCCAGAGUUGGUUUUAAGCAAAAGAACGGUUUGAAUCCAAACUGUAGAAAGCACAGAUCGAAGAACGGAACAAGGUGUGGUUGUGAUGCAAUGUGUCGUGUUUAUGUGAAUAUACACAAUGGGCGGUGGUAUGUGUCGAAGUUGAAUUUUGAUCACAAUCGUGGAGCGUUGGGUGUUAAUUUUUCAGCGUUGCUAGCUGCUCAUGGAAAAAUGAGUGCAACUGAUAUAUUGCAAAUUGAUAAUUUUUGAAAUGUUGACAUUAGACCUCCACUCAUUUAUGUAGCAUUUGUGAACUCGGCUGGAGGAUUUGAGAAGGAGGAUUUGUAAUAAAAGAUAUUUACAAUCAAUCAAGCGGGCAGAGGUGGGAGCAAUCAACUGAUGUGAGUGGAGCUUUCAGUUUCUUUCGGGAGUUGGGUUCGAAAGGCCCAUUACUUUAUGUAUCUCACACAGUUGAUGACGAAGUGAGGCUGCAACAUUAAUUUUGGGCGGACAGGGAGAGUAUUAUGAGCUAUCAAGUGUUUGGGGAUGUUUUGGCAUUUGAUGCAACUUGUAAGAAAAAUAAGGACCUAUGUCUCGUUGUUGUUUUUUUGAGUGUCAACCAUCAUAAUCAAACUGCCAUUUUUGUUGCCCAAAUUGUAAUGAAUGAGACCAAACAAACAUAUGUGUGGUUGUUGGAACAGUUUUGGACUCAAUGAAUGGAAAGACCCCUUGUUCGGUGAUAACUGACGUUGAUCUUACAAUGAGAAAUGUAAUUAGAAGAGUGUUUCCCAACGUGCAUCGUAGGCUGUGUGCAUGGCAUUUGCUUCGUAAUGCACAAAGUAAUGUCAAAAAAUGUGAAAUGAUGCUAUAUUUGAAAAGAUGUAUGUUGGGAGAAAUUGAGGAUGAUGAAUUUGAUAGAGUUUGGAGUGAAAUGGUGGAGAAAUUUGGUUUGGAGAACAACAAUUGGCUGAAGGAGUUUUAAGACAAAAGAAGCAUGUAGUCUCCCCCUCAUAUCCGGGGAAAUUUCUUUGCAGGUAUACACACUACUUCUUGCUGUGAAGCAUUUCAUAGCCAUCUUGUAAAGUAUUGUCAUUCACAGGUUAAUCUGACAGACUUUGUCCAACAAUUUCACAUGUGCCUCACAUAUUUGCGUUUUAGAGAAUUUGAGGCUAAUUUCUAUUCUAAUAAUGGUGAGCCUGAGUUUGAAACCAAUUAUCAUUCUUUGGAGACAUUUGCAGUAAAGCACAUGACUAAGGAAAUGUUUUUGCUAUUUGCACCUUAUCUGAAUAGAGCAUCAUUCAUAAGGGUUGUUGAUUGCCAUGAAACCUCAAUGCUAUCUAUUUUUACUGUUCUCAAAUAUUCUACAAGUAUAAUGUGGCAGGUUUCCUAUUGUGCAUCAAAAACUCAAUUCAAAUGUUCUUGUACGAGGAUGGAGUCAAUUGGAUUGCCAUAUGAGCAUAUAUUGGCUGCAAUACUUCAUUUACACUUUUCUGAAGUACCAAAGUCUUUGAUGCUGGAUAGGUGGUCAAAACAUGCAAAAGAAGGAAUUGUUAGAUGUUAUGCUCAUGGCUCAAACUAUUGGAAUUUGGAUUCGAUGGCUAAAUACGUGACUUUAGUGCAAAUAUCUAGACAGGUGUGUGAUUUUGCGCAUCGUGACCAAGAAGACUAUGAUCAUUUCAUGAAUUUACUUGGCUGUCAACUAAAUAGGAUGAAGGUUAAGUAUAGUGCAGUACUAGCGGUAGAAACAGAUGUCAACCCAUAACCUAAAAAUGAUAUCGAAGAAGUACUUGACCUACCUGUUGUUAGACCGAAAGGAUCGAUGUGGGUCAAGCAAGAAGACUCGAUCUGGAAGAUCUCGUAAGGUGUAGACAUGUAGCAGGUGUGGUGGAAAUGGACAUAACAAGAGAUCAUGCGGUAGCAGUAAUCAACAUUAUACUGGUGAUGGCAAUCCGGAUGGGGUUAUUCCCCUAGUCAGGAGAGCAAUGUUGUUCAUGAAUUUGACCUGAACCCCAACAAUGGUGAACAUGGAGGGCAUAAUGCCAUUGUCAGGAGGAGGCAUGGAGACAUUUAGUGAAGGAUUUUGCAUAAUUUGUUGACAAUGAAGUUUAUGGGUUCAUUUGUUGUUUCAGUGUUGUCAUUUGCUUUAAGUGACACUUUGUUUUGUGAUAAUUGUAGAAUAUUUGACCUUGUGGUGGUGAACCUUGGCUGACUUGUUUUAGUUUAAUUAUGUGUCUUGAUUACUCUAGAGCAAUUGACUUUGUCAUAUGGUAAC
Long non-coding RNA from Glycine soja, 2905 nucleotides. RefSeq lists it as uncharacterized. The transcript has 3 exons. Lineage: Eukaryota; Viridiplantae; Streptophyta; Magnoliopsida; Fabales; Fabaceae. The record is from RefSeq and is a predicted model, not a curated record.